GAUGAACGCUGGCGGUAUGCUUAACACAUGCAAGUCGAACGGUCACUUCGGUGAUAGUGGCGGACGGGUGAGUAACGCGUGAGAAUCUGUCUUCAGGUCGGGGACAACAGUUAGAAAUGACUGCUAAUACCGGAUGUGCCUUUGGGUGAAAGAUUUAUUGCCUGAAAAAGAGCUCGCGUCAGAUUAGCUAGUAGGUGGUGUAAGAGACUACCUAGGCUCCGAUCUGUAGCUGGUCUGAGAGGACGAUCAGCCACACUGGAACUGAGACACGGUCCAGACUCCUACGGGAGGCAGCAGUGGGGAAUUUUCCGCAAUGGGCGAAAGCCUGACGGAGCAAUACCGCGUGAGGGACGAAGGCUUUUGGGUCGCAAACCUCUUUUCUCAAGGAAGAUGAUGACGGUACUUGAGGAAUAAGCAUCGGCUAACUCUGUG
RNAcentral lists this ribosomal RNA (432 nucleotides) under uncultured bacterium. RNAcentral's name for it is "partial 16S ribosomal RNA". It matches the Rfam family "Bacterial small subunit ribosomal RNA", at positions 28 to 507 of the family's 1533-position model. The record is from RNAcentral.